RNAcentral lists this ribosomal RNA (201 nucleotides) under uncultured Veillonellaceae bacterium. RNAcentral describes it as "partial 16S ribosomal RNA". It matches the Rfam family "Bacterial small subunit ribosomal RNA", at positions 149 to 334 of the family's 1533-position model. The record is from RNAcentral. Lineage: Bacteria; Bacillati; Bacillota; Negativicutes; Veillonellales; Veillonellaceae.
GUUGGAAACGACUGCUAAUACCGCAUACGAUCUAAUCUCGGCAUCGAGGAUAGAUGAAAGGUGGCCUCUAUGUAUAAGCUAUCACUGAAGGAGGGGAUUGCGUCUGAUUAGCUAGUUGGAGGGGUAACGGCCCACCAAGGCGAUGAUCAGUAGCCGGUCUGAGAGGAUGAACGGCCACAUUGGGACUGAGACACGGCCCAG